Molecule: long non-coding RNA, 844 nt
Filed under: Homo sapiens (human)
Lineage: Eukaryota; Metazoa; Chordata; Mammalia; Primates; Hominidae
Description: long non-coding RNA NONHSAT182421.1
Source: RNAcentral
AGACGAUCUGCCGACCCUCUGGGAGAAAAUCCAGCAAGAUGCAAGCCUUCAGAAUCUGGGAUGUUAACCAGAAGACCUUCUAUCUGAGGAACAACCAACUAGUUGCUGGAUACUUGCAAGGACCAAAUGUCAAUUUAGAAGAAAAGAUAGAUGUGGUACCCAUUGAGCCUCAUGCUCUGUUCUUGGGAAUCCAUGGAGGGAAGAUGUGCCUGUCCUGUGUCAAGUCUGGUGAUGAGACCAGACUCCAGCUGGAGUUAACAUCACUGACCUGAGCGAGAACAGAAAGCAGGACAAGCGCUUCGCCUUCAUCCGCUCAGACAGUGGCCCCACCACCAGUUUUGAGUCUGCCGCCUGCCCCGGUUGGUUCCUCUGCACAGCGAUGGAAGCUGACCAGCCCGUCAGCCUCACCAAUAUGCCUGACGAAGGCGUCAUGGUCACCAAAUUCUACUUCCAGGAGGACGAGUAGUACUGCCCAGGCCUGCCUGUUCCCAUUCUUGCAUGGCAAGGACUGCAGGGACUGCCAGUCCCCCUGCCCCAGGGCUCCCGGCUAUGGGGGCACUGAGGACCAGCCAUUGAGGGGUGGACCCUCAGAAGGCGUCACAACAACCUGGUCACAGGACUCUGCCUCCUCUUCAACUGACCAGCCUCCAUGCUGCCUCCAGAAUGGUCUUUCUAAUGUGUGAAUCAGAGCACAGCAGCCCCUGCACAAAGCCCUUCCAUGUCGCCUCUGCAUUCAGGAUCAAACCCCGACCACCUGCCCAACCUGCUCUCCUCUUGCCACUGCCUCUUCCUCCCUCAUUCCACCUUCCCAUGCCCUGGAUCCAUCAGGCCACUUGAUGACCCC